Molecule: transfer RNA, 72 nt
Filed under: Collybiopsis luxurians FD-317 M1
Lineage: Eukaryota; Fungi; Basidiomycota; Agaricomycetes; Agaricales; Omphalotaceae
Also listed under: 1 other name
Description: tRNA-Thr (CGT) (tRNA-Thr-CGT-3-1)
Rfam family: tRNA
About the family: Transfer RNA (tRNA) molecules are approximately 80 nucleotides in length. Their secondary structure includes four short double-helical elements and three loops (D, anti-codon, and T loops). Further hydrogen bonds mediate the characteristic L-shaped molecular structure. tRNAs have two regions of fundamental functional importance: the anti-codon, which is responsible for specific mRNA codon recognition, and the 3' end, to which the tRNAs corresponding amino acid is attached (by aminoacyl-tRNA synthetases). tRNAs cope with the degeneracy of the genetic code in two manners: having more than one tRNA (with a specific anti-codon) for a particular amino acid; and 'wobble' base-pairing, i.e. permitting non-standard base-pairing at the 3rd anti-codon position.
Source: RNAcentral
GCCUUCUUAGCUCAGGGGUAGAGCGUUCCACUCGUAAUGGAAAGGUCGCUAGUUCGAAUCUGGUAGGAGGCA